Molecule: ribosomal RNA, 483 nt
Filed under: Enterococcus hirae
Lineage: Bacteria; Bacillati; Bacillota; Bacilli; Lactobacillales; Enterococcaceae
Description: bacterial SSU rRNA
Rfam family: Bacterial small subunit ribosomal RNA
Source: RNAcentral
ACGCUUCUUUUUCCACCGGAGCUUGCUCCACCGGAAAAAGAGGAGUGGCGAACGGGUGAGUAACACGUGGGUAACCUGCCCAUCAGAAGGGGAUAACACUUGGAAACAGGUGCUAAUACCGUAUAACAAUCGAAACCGCAUGGUUUUGAUUUGAAAGGCGCUUUCGGGUGUCGCUGAUGGAUGGACCCGCGGUGCAUUAGCUAGUUGGUGAGGUAACGGCUCACCAAGGCGACGAUGCAUAGCCGACCUGAGAGGGUGAUCGGCCACAUUGGGACUGAGACACGGCCCAAACUCCUACGGGAGGCAGCAGUAGGGAAUCUUCGGCAAUGGACGAAAGUCUGACCGAGCAACGCCGCGUGAGUGAAGAAGGUUUUCGGAUCGUAAAACUCUGUUGUUAGAGAAGAACAAGGAUGAGAGUAACUGUUCAUCCCUUGACGGUAUCUAACCAGAAAGCCACGGCUAACUACGUGCCAGCAGCCGCGG